GUGUCAGCAGCCGCGGUAAUACGUAGGGGGCGAGCGUUAUUCGGAAUUACUGGGUGUAAAGGGUAUGUAGGCGGCCUCACAAGUCGCGUGUCAAAGUCCAGCGCUUAACGCUGGGUUCGCACGUGAUACUGUCUGGCUUGAGGACUGGAGAGGUGAGCGGAAUUCCCGGUGUAGUGGUAAAAUACGUAGAUAUCGGGAGGAACACCAGCGGCGUAGGCGGCUCACUAGACAGUUUCUGACGCUAAGAUACGAAAGCGUGGGGAGCAAACAGGAUUAGAUACCCUGGUAGUCCACGCCCUAAACGAUGGAUACUUGGUGUUGGGGGGUUACCCUCAGUGCCGGAGCUAACGCGUUAAGUAUCCCACCUGGGGACUACGGCCGCAAGGCUAAAACUUAAAUGAAUUGACGGGG
This 411-nucleotide ribosomal RNA is filed under the name uncultured prokaryote. RNAcentral's name for it is "bacterial SSU rRNA". It matches the Rfam family "Bacterial small subunit ribosomal RNA", at positions 505 to 918 of the family's 1533-position model. The record is from RNAcentral.